UGGGGAAUUUUGGACAAUGGGCGAAAGCCUGAUCCAGCAAUGCCGCGUGUGUGAAGAAGGCCUUCGGGUUGUAAAGCACUUUUGUCCGGAAAGAAAUCCUUGGCUCUAAUACAGUCGGGGGAUGACGGUACCGGAAGAAUAAGCACCGGCUAACUACGUGCCAGCAGCCGCGGUAAUACGUAGGGUGCAAGCGUUAAUCGGAAUUACUGGGCGUAAAGCGUGCGCAGGCGGUUUGCUAAGACCGAUGUGAAAUCCCCGGGCUCAACCUGGGAACUGCAUUGGUGACUGGCAGGCUAGAGUAUGGCAGAGGGGGGUUAGAAUUCCACGUGUAGCAGUGAAAUGCGUAGAGAUGUGGAGGAAUACCGAUGGCGAAGGCAGCCCCCUGGGCCAAUACUGACGCUCAUGCACGAAAGCGUGGGGAGCAAAACAGGAUUAGAUACCCUGGUAGUCCACGCCCUAAACGAUGUCAACUAGUUGUUGGGGAUUCAUUUCCUUAGUAACGUAGCUAACGCGUGAAGUUGACCGCC
Molecule: ribosomal RNA, 527 nt
Filed under: uncultured bacterium
Lineage: Bacteria
Description: partial 16S ribosomal RNA
Rfam family: Bacterial small subunit ribosomal RNA
Source: RNAcentral